RNAcentral lists this ribosomal RNA (484 nucleotides) under uncultured bacterium. RNAcentral's name for it is "partial 16S ribosomal RNA". It matches the Rfam family "Bacterial small subunit ribosomal RNA", at positions 30 to 507 of the family's 1533-position model. The record is from RNAcentral.
AUUGAACGCUGGCGGCAGGCCUAACACAUGCAAAUCGAGCGGAUGAAGGGAGCUUGCUCCUGGAUUCAGCGGCGGACGGGUGAGUAAUGCCUAGGAAUCUGCCUGGUAGUGGGGGAUAACGUCCGGAAACGGGCGCUAAUACCGCAUACGUCCUGAGGGAGAAAGUGGGGGAUCUUCGGACCUCACGCUAUCAGAUGAGCCUAGGUCGGAUUAGCUAGUUGGUGGGGUAAAGGCCUACCAAGGCGACGAUCCGUAACUGGUCUGAGAGGAUGAUCAGUCACACUGGAACUGAGACACGGUCCAGACUCCUACGGGAGGCAGCAGUGGGGAAUAUUGGACAAUGGGCGAAAGCCUGAUCCAGCCAUGCCGCGUGUGUGAAGAAGGUCUUCGGAUUGUAAAGCACUUUAAGUUGGGAGGAAGGGCAGUAAGUUAAUACCUUGCUGUUUUGGCGUUACCAACAGAAUAAGCACCGGCUAACUUCGUG